This 465-nucleotide ribosomal RNA is filed under the name uncultured bacterium. RNAcentral's name for it is "partial 16S ribosomal RNA". It matches the Rfam family "Bacterial small subunit ribosomal RNA", at positions 28 to 507 of the family's 1533-position model. The record is from RNAcentral.
GACGAACGCUGGCGGCGUGCUUAACACAUGCAAGUCGAACGGAAAGGCCCUGAUUGCAGGGUACUCGAGUGGCGAACGGGUGAGUAACACGUGGGUGAUCUGCCCUGCACUUCGGGAUAAGCCUGGGAAACUGGGUCUAAUACCGGAUAGGAGCUAUUUUUAGUGUGAUGGUUGGAAAGUUUUUUCGGUGUAGGAUGAGCUCGCGGCCUAACAGCUUGUUGGUGGGGUAAUGGCCUACCAAGGCGACGAGGUGUAGCCGGCCUGUGAGAGUGGACGGCCAUACUGACUCUGACAGACGGCCCAAACUCCUACGGGAGGCAGCUGUGGGGAAUAUUGCACCAUGCGCGCAAGCCGGGUGCAGCGACGCCGCGUGGGGGAUGACGGCCUUCGUGUUGUAGACUCCCUUCGCUAGGGACGAAGCUUGUUGUGACGGUACCUAGAGAAGAAGCACCGGCUAACUACGUG